RNAcentral lists this ribosomal RNA (418 nucleotides) under Alcaligenes faecalis. RNAcentral describes it as "bacterial SSU rRNA". It matches the Rfam family "Bacterial small subunit ribosomal RNA", at positions 68 to 478 of the family's 1533-position model. Lineage: Bacteria; Pseudomonadati; Pseudomonadota; Betaproteobacteria; Burkholderiales; Alcaligenaceae. The record is from RNAcentral.
GCGAGGAGAGCUUGCUCUCUUGGGCGGGCGAGUGGCGGACGGGGUGAGUAAUAUAUCGGAACGUGCCCAGUAGCGGGGGAUAACUACUCGAAAGAGUGGCUAAUACCGCAUACGCCCUACGGGGGAAAGGGGGGGAUCGCAAGACCUCUCACUAUUGGAGCGGCCGAUAUCGGAUUAGCUAGUUGGUGGGGUAAAGGCUCACCAAGGCAACGAUCCGUAGCUGGUUUGAGAGGACGACCAGCCACACUGGGACUGAGACACGGCCCAGACUCCUACGGGAGGCAGCAGUGGGGAAUUUUGGACAAUGGGGGAAACCCUGAUCCAGCCAUCCCGCGUGUAUGAUGAAGGCCUUCGGGUUGUAAAGUACUUUUGGCAGAGAAGAAAAGGUAUCCCCUAUACGGGAUACUGCUGACGGUAU